GCGCAACGACUUGGGCGCUGUCUCGACCAUGGACCCGGUGAAAUUGCACUGGUCGUGAAGAUGCGACUUACCCGCGGAAGGACGGAAAGACCCCGUGAACCUUCACUGCAGCUUGGCAUUGGCCGCUGGUCCCGCGUGUAGAGGAUAGGCAGGAGGCACAGAUCCGGAGGCGCCAGCCCCCGGGGAGCCGCCCUUGGAAUACUGCCCUCGCGCGACCGGCGUCCUAACCCGAGGCCGUCAACCGGCUCGGGGACCGUGCCAGGCGGGCAGUUUGACUGGGGCGGUCGCCUCCUAAAGGGUAACGGAGGCGCGCGAAGGUCCGCUCGGGACGGUCGGCAACCGUCCUUUUGAAUGCAAGAGUACAAGCGGGCUUGACUGCGAGGCCCACAAGCCGAGCAGGUGCGAAAGCAGGCUCUAGUGAUCCGGCGGCCCCGAGUGGGUGGGCCGUCGCUCAACGGAUAAAAGGUACUCCGGGGAUAACAGGCUGAUCUUGCCCAAGAGUCCACAUCGACGGCAAGGUUUGGCACCUCGAUGUCGGCUCAUCGCAUCCUGGGGCUGUAGCAGGUCCCAAGGGUUGGGCUGUUCGCCCAUUAAAGCGGUACGCGAGCUGGGUUCAGAACGUCGUGAGACAGUUCGGUCCCUAUCCUCCGUGGGCGCAGGAGAAUCGAUGGAGGCUGCCCCCAGUACGAGAGGACCGGGGUGGACGCACCUCCGGUGAACCGGUUGUCGACCAACGGCACGGCCGGGUAGCCGCGUGCGGCGCGGAUAACCGCUGAAGGCAUCUAAGCGGGAAGCCGUUCCAGGGAUUAGUUCUCCUUCCGGUAAGGGCCCAGGUAGACUACCUGGUCGAUAGACGGCAGGUGCAAGGCUGGCGACAGCCUCAGCCGAGCCGCACUAAUCGCCCGAGCUCUUCCGGAA
This 918-nucleotide ribosomal RNA is filed under the name human gut metagenome. RNAcentral's name for it is "bacterial LSU rRNA". It matches the Rfam family "Bacterial large subunit ribosomal RNA", at positions 1999 to 2925 of the family's 2925-position model. The record is from RNAcentral.